GACAGCAGCAGCCGCGGUAAUACAGAGGGUGCGAGCGUUAAUCGGAUUUACUGGGCGUAAAGCGUGCGUAGGCGGCUUCUUAAGUCGGAUGUGAAAUCCCCGGGCUUAACCUGGGAACUGCAUUUGAAACUGUCAGGCUGGAGUCUUGUAGAGGGGGGUGGAAUUCCAGGUGUAGCGGUGAAAUGCGUAGAGAUCUGGAGGAAUACCGGUGGCGAAGGCGGCCCCCUGGACAAAGACUGACGCUCAGGUGCGAAAGCGUGGGGAGCAAACAGGAUUAGAUACCCGAGUAGUCCCUGUCUCUUAUAC
This 306-nucleotide ribosomal RNA is filed under the name uncultured bacterium. RNAcentral describes it as "partial 16S ribosomal RNA". It matches the Rfam family "Bacterial small subunit ribosomal RNA", at positions 505 to 807 of the family's 1533-position model. The record is from RNAcentral.